This is a long non-coding RNA of Homo sapiens (human), 1877 nucleotides long. RefSeq lists it as uncharacterized. Lineage: Eukaryota; Metazoa; Chordata; Mammalia; Primates; Hominidae. The record is from RefSeq and is a predicted model, not a curated record. The transcript is spliced from 4 exons.
AUUUCCUAUUUAAUAACAGAGAAAGGAAAUGAACCGGCUUUGACAAUCAGAAGGCUGGAUUGCCAUGUUGAUUGGCAGUGGUCGGAUGAUGUCUAUUAUUGUAUCAUCAAAUUCCCUGAUGUUUUCCUCUCUGGCCUGCAUUCUGCUGUUAAGCCCAUCUCCAUUGAGGUUUCUAUUUUGGUUCUAUGAUAUAACAGUGAGCCUGGAAAACUGGCCUGAAUCAAAUGAGAAUUAAAACCUGCCAGAAUGCUUAAGCGACCAUGGCCCGGAGGUUUCUCUCCAGCUCUGCUUCUCCCUCCCUGUCUCUGGAGGCUGCUGCAGCAUCAGACUCAAGCCCAGGAGUGAAGGCAAAGGAGAUCUUCCUUCAGAGACUCCACAUGGGCCUCCAGAUCAGAUUUGCACAGGGUCAGUUCCUCCAGGAUCCCAUGCAGGCUGCUGAUGUCAGCCUCUAACAGCUGGCGAAGGGACAGUUCACUCUCGUACCUUUCACAGCAAAAGAGAAAUCCAACGCUUACUUUGCUGAACGCUGUGCAAAGUGUGGGGAUACAUGGAGGAUCGACACACGGACUUCAGGAAGCCAUGUGCAUAAUUUCUCUUAAUUCCUAAGUAAUGAUAAAUUCAAGCUUUUAAAACAUUCUUAACUUUAAAAUAUUAUAUAGAGAAUAUUUGUGUGUGUGUGUGUGUGUGAGAGAGAGAGAUUGAGAGAGAGAGAGCCAUAAGUUAUUUUCAAAUUAAAAUUAAAGCCGGGCGUGGUGGCUCAUGCCUGUAAUCCCAGCACUUUGGGAGGCCAAGGCGGGCAGAUCACCUGAGGUCAGGAGUUCGAGACCAACCUGGCCCACAUGGUGAAACCCUGUCUCUACUAAAAAUACAAAAAUUAGCUAGGUGUGGCGGUGCACGCCUGCCUGUAAUCCCGGCUACUCAGGAGGCUGAGGCAGGAGAACCACUUGAACCCAGGAGGCAGAGGUUGCAGUGAGCUGAGAUAGCACCAUUGAGCUCUAGCCUGGGUGACAAGAGUGAAACUCCAUCUCAAAAUAAAUAAAUAAAAUAAAAUUAAAUUAAACUUACUUUGACUUAAAGUCAUCAGUGGCCAGUUUGCAGUUGUCAAGCUGUACAGCAAGUCUAGAAUUCUCUGCUUUCGUGCAUAAGAUCUGGGAAGCAAGUCAUUAUGUGAUAAAUGAUUCUUUGAGAGAAACCUAAGUAAACUUCUAUCCAACAGCUAUGCCAUUAGCUAUCUUUUGAAAGUCUUUAUAAGAAAGUAUAAAAUCACCCUCAGCCUGCUUUUUUUUAUUAACCUUGUCACUUCAUGAAGAAAAAAAGCAGAGCCAAUUUAGAAACAAAAUAAUGAAAUAAAAAGGUUUAGUUUUUUAAUAACAUAAGACAUUUUGCAACAUUCUCAGGCAGUUGAACACCAUUAAUGUUUUCUCCAUCAGUAGUUUGUAUUAUGAGUAUAUCCUCUCCCAUAAUAAUAGAAAUUCAUGGAGAGAAGAAAAUGAUUACUAGGUAGUUAAAAAGAUGGCAUUUCAUGAUCUGUGUUCAGAUAAUGUAAAUGUUCAGUGUCACGUACAAAAGCGAUUUUGGAUAUAAUACAGUUUUUCUGCAUUCUAUAGAUGAUGAAGGAAAAGUCUACAGGCAAGUUACUUUAUUAUAGUCACUCAGUAAUCAGGGGUAGCUCUGGGGCUGAUGCUGAGGUUUUCUGACUUUCAGUCCGGUGCUCUCCCCUAUGUAUCACUAACUCUUAGAAUUUUCCUUUCCCUUGGUUUCCUUCUGUAAAACAGCCCCUUCUAGUAGAAAGAUAAAGCAAACCAUAGAUCAGGAAGGUGGAGCACUAGGGCAACAGGACACAGACCUUUUGUUGGAGAUCUUCAAUGGUGUUGAAG